RNAcentral lists this transfer RNA (72 nucleotides) under Camelus bactrianus (Bactrian camel). It matches the Rfam family "tRNA". From Rfam's summary of the family: Transfer RNA (tRNA) molecules are approximately 80 nucleotides in length. Their secondary structure includes four short double-helical elements and three loops (D, anti-codon, and T loops). RNAcentral also lists the same sequence under 1 other name. The record is from Rfam by way of RNAcentral. Lineage: Eukaryota; Metazoa; Chordata; Mammalia; Artiodactyla; Camelidae.
GAGGGUAUAGCUUAGUGGUAGAGUGUGUGCUUAGCAUGCAUGAGGUCCUAGGUUCAAUCCCCAGUACCUCCA